This 425-nucleotide ribosomal RNA is filed under the name uncultured bacterium. RNAcentral describes it as "bacterial SSU rRNA". It matches the Rfam family "Bacterial small subunit ribosomal RNA", at positions 60 to 527 of the family's 1533-position model. The record is from RNAcentral.
AGUCGUACGAGAGUUUUUACUCAAGUGGCGGACGGGUGAGUAACACGUAAGAAUUUGCCUUUAGGAGGGGGACAACAACUGGAAACGGUUGCUAAUACCCCAUAUGCUUUCGAGUGAAACGGUUUUUCCGCCUAAAGAGAAGCUUGCGGCUGAUUAGCUUGUUGGUAAGGUAAUGGCUUACCAAGGCGACGAUCAGUAUCUGGUUUGAGAGGACGAUCAGACACACUGGAACUGAGACACGGUCCAGACUCCUACGGGAGGCAGCAGUGGGGAAUUUUCCGCAAUGGGCGAAAGCCUGACGGAGCAAUACCGCGUGAGGGAUGAAUGCCUAUGGGUUGUAAACCUCUUUUUUUCAGGGAGGAAUCAAUGACGUUACCUGAAGAAUAAGCAUCGGCUAACUCCGUGCCAGCAGCCGCGGUAAUACG